GGAUCAAAAUGUCGGUCGUGCCUUCGGUACGUACUGGUAUCAUUGGUCUCUCCUUUCUGACGAACCAUGAUGUCAUUAAUUUGGUGUUAUGGGGAAUUUGGACUGUUACUUUGAAAAAAUUAGAGUGUUUAAAGCAAGCUAACGCUUGAAUACAUUAGCAUGGAAUAAUGAAAUAGGACGCUCGAUCCUAUUUUGUUGGUUUCUAGGAUUGACGUA
RNAcentral lists this ribosomal RNA (216 nucleotides) under Campeiostachys nutans. Its description in RNAcentral is "Elymus nutans partial small subunit ribosomal RNA". The stretch from base 38 to 216 matches the Rfam family "Eukaryotic small subunit ribosomal RNA", at positions 684 to 864 of the family's 1831-position model. Lineage: Eukaryota; Viridiplantae; Streptophyta; Magnoliopsida; Poales; Poaceae. The record is from RNAcentral.